UGGUGGAGCGAUUUGUCUGGUUAAUUCGAUAACGAACGAGACUCUAGCCUAUUAAAUAGUUCGUUGAUCACGCAUGUCGGCGUAAACUUCUUAGAGGGACUAGUGGCGUUUAGCCACACGAGAUUGAGCAAUAACA
Molecule: ribosomal RNA, 136 nt
Filed under: uncultured eukaryote
Lineage: Eukaryota
Description: partial 18S ribosomal RNA
Rfam family: Eukaryotic small subunit ribosomal RNA
Source: RNAcentral